CCGGUGGCGGAUGGGCAUGCGGCGCAUUAGCUAGACGGCGGGGUGACGGCCCACCGUGGCGACGAUGCGUAGGGGUUCUGAGAGGAAGGCCCCCCACACUGGGACUGAGACACGGCCCAGACUCCUACGGGAGGCAGCAGUGAGGAAUAUUGGUCAAUGGGCGGAAGCCUGAACCAGCCAAGUCGCGUGAGGGAUUAAGGCCCUGCGGGUCGUAAACCUCUUUUGCCGGGGAGCAGUGGUCCGGACGCGUCCGGGCCGGGAGAGUACCCGGAGAAAAAGCAUCGGCUAACUCCGUGCCAGCAGCCGCGGUAAUACGGAGGAUGCGAGCGUUAUCCGGAUUUAUUGGGUUUAAAGGGUGCGUAGGCGGGCAUUUAAGCCGGCGGUCAAAUGUCGGGGCUCAACCCCGGCCUGCCGUCGGAACUGGGUGCCUUGAGUGGGCGAGAAGUAUGCGGAAUGCGUGGUGUAGCGGUGAAAUGCAUAGAUAUCACGCAGAACCCCGAUUGCGAAGGCAGCAUACCGGCGCCCUACUGACGCUGAGGCACGAAAGUGCGGGUAUCGAACAGGAUUAGAUACCCUGGUAGUCCGCACAGUAAACGAUGGAUGCUAUCUGUCCGGGCCGAAUGAGGCCUGG
This 631-nucleotide ribosomal RNA is filed under the name uncultured bacterium. RNAcentral describes it as "bacterial SSU rRNA". It matches the Rfam family "Bacterial small subunit ribosomal RNA", at positions 215 to 842 of the family's 1533-position model. The record is from RNAcentral.